AUACGGAGGAUGCAAGCGUUAUCCGGAUUUAUUGGGUUUAAAGGGUGCGUAGGCGGAUGAUUAAGCGUGAGGUGAAAUGCCACUGCUCAACAGUGGAACUGCCUCGCGAACUGGUUGUCUUGAAUGCUCCUGCCGUGGGAGGAAUGUGUGGUGUAGCGGUGAAAUGCAUAGAUAUCACGAAGAACUCCGAUCGCGAAGGCAGCCUUCCGGCCCGUCAACGACGCUCAUGCUCGAAGGUGCGGGUAUCAAACAGGAUUAGAUACCCUGGUAGUCCGCACAGUAAACGAUGGACACCCGCGGUUUGGCCUAUAUGGCUGAGCCGCCAAGCGAAAGCGUUAAGUGUCCCACCUGGGGAGUACGCCGGCAACGGUGAAACUCAAAUGAAUUGACGGGG
RNAcentral lists this ribosomal RNA (394 nucleotides) under uncultured bacterium. RNAcentral's name for it is "partial 16S ribosomal RNA". It matches the Rfam family "Bacterial small subunit ribosomal RNA", at positions 523 to 918 of the family's 1533-position model. The record is from RNAcentral.